GGGGCAUUGGCGCAGUUGGUAGCGCGUUUCGUUCGCAAUGAAAAGGUCGGGGGUUCGAAUCCCCCAUGCUCCACAA
RNAcentral lists this transfer RNA (76 nucleotides) under Ancrocorticia populi. RNAcentral describes it as "Actinomycetaceae bacterium sk1b4 tRNA-Ala". It matches the Rfam family "tRNA". From Rfam's summary of the family: Transfer RNA (tRNA) molecules are approximately 80 nucleotides in length. The record is from RNAcentral. Lineage: Bacteria; Bacillati; Actinomycetota; Actinomycetes; Actinomycetales; Actinomycetaceae.